RNAcentral lists this ribosomal RNA (272 nucleotides) under uncultured bacterium. RNAcentral describes it as "partial 16S ribosomal RNA". It matches the Rfam family "Bacterial small subunit ribosomal RNA", at positions 337 to 625 of the family's 1533-position model. The record is from RNAcentral.
UCCUACGGGGGGCAGCAGUCGGGAAUAUUGCGCAAUGGAGGAAACUCUGACGCAGUGACGCCGCGUAUAGGAAGAAGGUUUUCGGAUUGUAAACUAUUGUCGUUAGGGAAGAGAAAGGACAGUACCUAAGGAGGAAGCUCCGGCUAACUACGUGCCAGCAGCCGCGGUAAUACGUAGGGAGCGAGCGUUAUCCGGAUUUAUUGGGCGUAAAGCGAGUGCAGGCGGUUCAAUAAGUCUGAUGUGAAAGCCUUCGGCUCAACCGGAGAAUUGCA